CCCAAUGCCUCCGUUUACCCCGAGGGGAGUUGUUGAGGCUAGGACAUGUGCUCGAGAGCUGGGGUGCCUGAAUCCAUCCAGAGAAGUCUUGUCAGGUAAAUCUUCACAAAACCUGGGACUCCUAGCUCUUCUGACCUUUGCUCCAGUUUCCAGGUCCUGUCACCAAGACUUCCCAGCUAUGGCAGACCAUAAACUAGAAUUCUGACCUGAAACAAGCCCUUCUCCCUAACUUGCUUUUAUCAAGCAUUUGAUCACAGUGACAGCCAACAAUGCUGAGACAGAGGACUGGAACAUCCCCAUCCACCCCAUACAUCCUCAUUGAACAGACUUUGGUGGAUGCUGAAACCUGCUGGGGAAAAGGAUCCCAGAGAGAGAAACAG
Long non-coding RNA from Mastomys coucha (southern multimammate mouse), 380 nucleotides. RefSeq lists it as uncharacterized. NCBI's taxonomy places the organism in Eukaryota, Metazoa, Chordata, Mammalia, Rodentia, Muridae. The transcript has 4 exons. The record is from RefSeq and is a predicted model, not a curated record.